UCUCCGUAGGUGAACCUGCGGAGGGAUCAUUACUGAGUGAGGGCUUCGGUCCGACCUCCAACCCUUUGUGAACCAAACUUGUUGCUUCGGGGGCGACCCUGCCGCUUCGGCGGUGCGGCGCCCCCGGAGGCCUUCAAACACUGCAACUUUGCGUCGGAGUUAAAGUAAAUUAAACAAAACUUUCAACAACGGAUCUCUUGGUUCCAGCAUCGAUGAAGAACGCAGC
RNAcentral lists this unclassified non-coding RNA (226 nucleotides) under uncultured fungus. Its description in RNAcentral is "sequence contains ITS1, 5.8S rRNA gene". The stretch from base 178 to 226 matches the Rfam family "5.8S ribosomal RNA", at positions 1 to 49 of the family's 154-position model. Lineage: Eukaryota; Fungi. The record is from RNAcentral.